Molecule: small nuclear RNA, 195 nt
Organism: Onychostoma macrolepis
Lineage: Eukaryota; Metazoa; Chordata; Actinopteri; Cypriniformes; Cyprinidae
Product: U2 spliceosomal RNA
Exons: 1
Source: RefSeq, a predicted model, not a curated record
AUGGUUUUGGUUAAAUAAAUAAAAAAAAAAUAAUAAUAAUAAUCUGUUCUUAUCAGUUUGAUAUUUGAUACGUCCCCUACCCGGGGACUGCAUAUUAAAUUGAUUUUUGGAUCACGGAGCUGGAGCCGGGGCUUGCUCCGUCCACUCCACGCAUCGGCCUGGUAUUACAGUGUCUCCAGGAAUGGUGCUUCCCCU